Molecule: long non-coding RNA, 241 nt
Filed under: Elaeis guineensis (African oil palm)
Lineage: Eukaryota; Viridiplantae; Streptophyta; Magnoliopsida; Arecales; Arecaceae
Description: long non-coding RNA (EGUI_LNC050066)
Source: RNAcentral
UCUCUUGGGUGAGCACAAGAUCAAAAAACCCUAUGGUUUGGACCAAGGGUUUGGGAAGAGAGAAAAAGAAAAGAGAAGAUAGUCUCCUCUCCAUAUUUCUUUUACCUCUUCAUCUCCUCCAGAAGUCUAUCUUCAACCUCUAAAAAGAUUUUAGAGAUUUGAAGAAAAGAUCUAGAUCAACCAAGAAGAAGGUCUUCACGCGAACUAGCAUUCUCGAAAAGAUCGAUCAGAUCGGGGCUUC